This 454-nucleotide ribosomal RNA is filed under the name uncultured bacterium. RNAcentral's name for it is "bacterial SSU rRNA". It matches the Rfam family "Bacterial small subunit ribosomal RNA", at positions 1 to 507 of the family's 1533-position model. The record is from RNAcentral.
AGUAGUUUGAUCAUGGCUCAGAACGACGCUGGCGGCAGGCUUAACACAUGCAAGUCGAACGGAUCCUUCGGGAUCAGUGGCGGACGGGUGAGUAACGCGUGGGAACCUACCCUGGGGUGGGGAAUAACCUUGGGAAACCGAGGCUAAUACCGCAUACGCCCUAUUGGGGAAAGACUAUGUUGCCCUGGGAUGGGCCCGCGUCCGAUUAGCUAGUUGGUGGGGUAAUGGCCUACCAAGGCUGCGAUCGGUAGCUGGUCUGAGAGGAUGAUCAGCCACACUGGGACUGAGACACGGCCCAGACUCCUACGGGAGGCAGCAGUGGGGAAUAUUGGACAAUGGGGGCAACCCUGAUCCAGCCAUGCCGCGUGAGUGAAGAAGGCCUUAGGGUUGUAAAGCUCUUUCACCCGUGACGAUGAUGACGGUAGCGGGAGAAGAAGCCCCGGCUAAUUCCGUG